UACGGAGGGUGCAAGCGUUGUCCGGAUUUAUUGGGCGUAAAGAGCUCGUAGGCGGCUUGUCGCGUCGAAUGUGAAAUCUCAGGGCUCAACUCUGACAUUGCAUUCGAUACGGGCAGGCUAGAGUUCGGUAGGGGAGACUGGAAUUCCUGGUGUAGCGGUGAAAUGCGCAGAUAUCAGGAGGAACACCGGUGGCGAAGGCGGGUCUCUGGGCCGAUACUGACGCUGAGGAGCGAAAGCGUGGGGAGCGAACAGG
This 253-nucleotide ribosomal RNA is filed under the name uncultured bacterium. Its description in RNAcentral is "partial 16S ribosomal RNA". It matches the Rfam family "Bacterial small subunit ribosomal RNA", at positions 524 to 776 of the family's 1533-position model. The record is from RNAcentral.